GGUCAAGAUUGACGCUCAUGCACGAAAGCGUGGGAGCAAACAGGAUUAGAUACCCUGGUAGUCCACGCCCUAAACGAUGUCUACUAGUUGUCGGGUUUUAAUUAACUUGGUAACGCAGCUAACGCGUGAAGUAGACCGCCUGGGGAGUACGGUCGCAGGAUUAAAACUCAAAGGAAUUGACGGGGACCCGCACAAGCGGUGGAUGAUGUGGAUUAAUUCGAUGCAACGCGAAAAACCUUACCUACCCUUGACAUGUACGGAAUCCUGGAGAGAUCUGGGAGUGCUCGAAAGAGAGCCGUAACACAGGUGCUGCAUGGCUGUCGUCAGCUCGUGUCGUGAGAUGUUGGGUUAAGUCCCGCAACGAGCGCAACCCUUGUCAUUAGUUGCUACGAAAGGGCACUCUAAUGAGACUGCCGGUGACAAACCGGAGGAAGGUGGGGAUGACGUCAAGUCCUCAUGGCCCUUAUGGGUAGGGCUUCACACGUCAUACAAUGGUACAUACAGAGGGCCGCCAACCCGCGAGGGGGAGCUAAUCCCAGAAAGUGUAUCGUAGUCCGGAUUGUAGUCUGCAACUCGACUACAUGAAGUUGGAAUCGCUAGUAAUCGCGGAUCAGCAUGUCGCGGUGAAUACGUUCCCGGGUCUUGUACACACCGCCCGUCACACCAUGGGAGCGGGUUUUACCAGAAGUAGGUAGCUUAACCGCAAGGGGGGCGCUUACCACGGUAGGAUUCGUGACUGGGGUGAAGUCGUAACAAGGUAACCAAGGG
This 768-nucleotide ribosomal RNA is filed under the name uncultured bacterium. Its description in RNAcentral is "bacterial SSU rRNA". It matches the Rfam family "Bacterial small subunit ribosomal RNA", at positions 732 to 1506 of the family's 1533-position model. The record is from RNAcentral.